UACGGAGGGGGCUAGCGUUGUUCGGAAUUACUGGGCGUAAAGCGCGCGUAGGCGGCUUUGUAAGUUAGAGGUGAAAGCCCGAAGCUCAACUUCGGAAUUGCCUUUAAGACUGCAUCGCUAGAAUUGUGGAGAGGUAAGUGGAAUUCCGAGUGUGGAGGUGAAAUUCGUAGAUAUUCGGAAGAACACCAGUGGCGAAGGCGACUUACUGGACACAUAUUGACGCUGAGGUGCGAAAGCGUGGGGAGCGAACAGG
RNAcentral lists this ribosomal RNA (253 nucleotides) under uncultured bacterium. RNAcentral's name for it is "partial 16S ribosomal RNA". It matches the Rfam family "Bacterial small subunit ribosomal RNA", at positions 524 to 776 of the family's 1533-position model. The record is from RNAcentral.